AUCCAGUUGACGAGCCCCAAAUAGGACGAAACGCGCGUCGUGAAU
This 45-nucleotide non-coding RNA is filed under the name Schistosoma curassoni. The record is from RNAcentral. Lineage: Eukaryota; Metazoa; Platyhelminthes; Trematoda; Strigeidida; Schistosomatidae.